This 253-nucleotide ribosomal RNA is filed under the name uncultured Thiobacillus sp. RNAcentral describes it as "partial 16S ribosomal RNA". It matches the Rfam family "Bacterial small subunit ribosomal RNA", at positions 524 to 776 of the family's 1533-position model. The record is from RNAcentral. Lineage: Bacteria; Pseudomonadati; Pseudomonadota; Betaproteobacteria; Nitrosomonadales; Thiobacillaceae.
UACGUAGGGUGCAAGCGUUAAUCGGAAUUACUGGGCGUAAAGCGUGCGCAGGCGGAUUGUUAAGCAAGAUGUGAAAUCCCCGGGCUUAACCUGGGAAUGGCAUUUUGAACUGGCAAUCUAGAGUGUGUCAGAGGGGGGUAGAAUUCCACGUGUAGCAGUGAAAUGCGUAGAGAUGUGGAGGAAUACCGAUGGCGAAGGCAGCCCCCUGGGAUAACACUGACGCUCAUGUACGAAAGCGUGGGUAGCAAACAGG